RNAcentral lists this ribosomal RNA (497 nucleotides) under uncultured bacterium. Its description in RNAcentral is "partial 16S ribosomal RNA". It matches the Rfam family "Bacterial small subunit ribosomal RNA", at positions 28 to 507 of the family's 1533-position model. The record is from RNAcentral.
GACGAACGCUGGCGGCGUGCCUAAUACAUGCAAGUUGAGCGAUGAAGCUUGGUUCUUGCACCAAUUUGAAGAGCAGCGAACGGGUGAGUCACGCGUGGGGAAUCUUCCUUUGAGCGGGGGACAACAUUUGGAAACGCAUGCUAAUACCGCAUAACAACUUUAAACAUAAGUUUUAAGUUUGAAAGAUGCAAUUGCAUCACUCAAAGAUGAUCCCGCGUUGUAUUAGCUAGUUGGUGAGGUAAAGGCUCACCAAGGCGAUGAUACAUAGCCGACCUGAGAGGGUGGUAGGCCACAUUGGGGCGGAGACACGGACCAAACGCCUGCGGGAGGCAGCAGACGGGAAUGUUCGGCAGUGGACGAAAGUCUGGCCGAGCAACGCCGCGUGAGUGAAGGAGGUUUUCGGAGCGUAAAACUCUGUUGGUAGAGAAGAACGUUGGUGGGAGUGGAAAGAUCAUCGAGUGACGGUAACUAGCCAGAAAGCGACGGCUAACUACGUG